This 774-nucleotide long non-coding RNA is filed under the name Pogona vitticeps (central bearded dragon). RNAcentral describes it as "lncRNA (ENSPVIG00000019491.1)". Lineage: Eukaryota; Metazoa; Chordata; Lepidosauria; Squamata; Agamidae. The record is from RNAcentral.
UUGAACUAAAAUUUGACACAGGACCUGGGGUUUCCCACACAAGUGAGAAAGAAAUUGACUCUGGAAGACUUGGUCAAAAGUCUUUGAUUAUAAUUUUUUCUGCUGGUGGUUUUUCAGAAUGGAACUCCAGUCUUAUCAGCCAGCAUAGCUGGAGCCAGGUGUGACAGGUUGAUGGAGUAUUCUAGGAAAGAACAUGCCUUCAGCUUAAGACUCUGGGAUGGAUCACAGUAUUACCUUGCAGCACCCUCUCAAAAGCUAAUGGAGGACUGGAUGCAAGCAUUAUAUAGUCACUUGGAUCCAGCAAGGCCUCAGAUAAAACCAUGGGUUUCCACAGGCAGAGGUGCUGCUGAAAAGCAGGUUACGAAAGUUCUCCUUCCCAGGAGAACUCCUUCCUUCAAAAUUAUACAAGAAAAAAGACCUAUGGGCAGUUCUGGUAAAUCAGAAGGAUUACCUCACGCUUUUAGCAUUACCUUUUCUCAGAAUUCUGAAGACUCUGAUGCUUCAUCUGUGACCUCCAUAGUAUCAGAUCCAGCAAUUCAGGGGAUAUCCACUCCAUCAGAUCCCCCACCAAGCUAUGAUGGGUCAGAAGUGUAUAAUGGAGGAGACAAGGGGAUUCUGGAACUGGAAGCUCAAGAAAUCAGAGCUGAACUCACCCCUGAAGUAACCAAAUGUUCAGAUGAUCCUCAAACUCAAGGCCUAAAGGAAUCGGAUGUCAAGAAGCAGAAGAAACGGAAAGAGAAGAAUGUAUUCAAGAAACUUUUUUCCAAAAAAUAA